GACGAACCGUGCGAACGUUGUUCGGAAUCACUGGGCUUAAAGGGCGCGUAGGCGGGCCAUGAAGUCCAGGGUGAAAGCCCCCAGCUUAACUGGGGAAGUGCCUUGGAAACCAGUGGUCUUGAGGGAGGUAGGGGUGCGUGGAACUUCUGGUGGAGCGGUGAAAUGCGUUGAUAUCAGAAGGAACGCCGGGGGCGAAAGCGACGCACUGGAUCUCUUCUGACGCUGAGGCGCGAAAGCUAGGGGAGCAAACGGG
RNAcentral lists this ribosomal RNA (253 nucleotides) under uncultured Gemmata sp. RNAcentral describes it as "partial 16S ribosomal RNA". It matches the Rfam family "Bacterial small subunit ribosomal RNA", at positions 524 to 776 of the family's 1533-position model. The record is from RNAcentral. Lineage: Bacteria; Pseudomonadati; Planctomycetota; Planctomycetia; Gemmatales; Gemmataceae.